Small nucleolar RNA from Mastomys coucha (southern multimammate mouse), 97 nucleotides. RefSeq annotates it as small nucleolar RNA SNORD125. Lineage: Eukaryota; Metazoa; Chordata; Mammalia; Rodentia; Muridae. The record is from RefSeq and is a predicted model, not a curated record. The transcript has a single exon.
AACCUUGGCAGCCCCUCUAGGUGAUUCCUCUUCCUGAGUGGCUCCAAUGCUUAGCAAACUGAGCCUCUGAGAAGUUGACUGAAGGGGCCGCUUCCAC